This 429-nucleotide ribosomal RNA is filed under the name uncultured bacterium. RNAcentral describes it as "bacterial SSU rRNA". It matches the Rfam family "Bacterial small subunit ribosomal RNA", at positions 29 to 506 of the family's 1533-position model. The record is from RNAcentral.
ACGAGCGCUGGCGGCAUGCCUAACACAUGUAAGUCGAACGGCUCCUCGGAGCAGUGGCGCACGGGUGAGUAACGCGUGGGAACCUACCCUGAGGUUCGGAAUAACGGCUGGAAACGGCCGCUAAUACCGGAUGUGCCCUGAGGGGCAAAGGCUUGCCGCCUUGGGAGGGGCCCGCGUCCGAUUAGCUAGUUGGUGGGGUAAUGGCCUACCAAGGCGACGAUCGGUAGCUGGUCUGAGAGGAUGAUCAGCCACACUGGGACUGAGACACGGCCCAGACUCCUACGGGAGGCAGCAGUGGGGAAUAUUGGACAAUGGGCGCAAGCCUGAUCCAGCAAUGCCGCGUGUGUGAUGAAGGCCUUAGGGUUGUAAAGCACUUUCGCCGGUGACGAUGAUGACGGUAGCCGGAUAAGAAGCCCCGGCUAACUCCGU